This 253-nucleotide ribosomal RNA is filed under the name uncultured bacterium. RNAcentral's name for it is "partial 16S ribosomal RNA". It matches the Rfam family "Bacterial small subunit ribosomal RNA", at positions 524 to 776 of the family's 1533-position model. The record is from RNAcentral.
UACAUAGGUCUCAAGCGUUGUUCGGAUUCAUUGGGCGUAAAGGGUGCGUAGGCGGCGCGGUAAGUCGGGUGUGAAAUCUUGGAGCUUAACUCCGAAACUGCAUUCGAUACUGCCGUGCUUGAGGACUGGAGAGGAGACUGGAAUUUACGGUGUAGCGGUGAAAUGCGUAGAUAUCGUAAGGAAGACCAGUGGCGAAGGCGGGUCUCUGGACAGUACCUGACGCUGAGGCACGAAGGCCAGGGGAGCAAACGGG